RNAcentral lists this ribosomal RNA (253 nucleotides) under uncultured bacterium. RNAcentral's name for it is "partial 16S ribosomal RNA". It matches the Rfam family "Bacterial small subunit ribosomal RNA", at positions 524 to 776 of the family's 1533-position model. The record is from RNAcentral.
UACGUAGGAGGCAAGCGUUGUCCGGAAUUACUGGGUGUAAAGCGCGUGUAGGCGGCAGGCCAAGUCUGUUGUGAAAUCGCCCGGCUCAACUGGGCGGGGUCAAUGGAAACUGGUCGGCUGGAGGACGGUAGAGGUGAGUGGAAUUCCCGGUGUAGUGGUGAAAUGCGUAGAGAUCGGGAGGAACACCCGUGGCGAAGGCGGCUCACUGGGCCGGUCCUGACGCUGAGACGCGAAGGCGUGGGGAGCGAACGGG